Molecule: ribosomal RNA, 200 nt
Filed under: uncultured bacterium
Lineage: Bacteria
Description: partial 16S ribosomal RNA
Rfam family: Bacterial small subunit ribosomal RNA
Source: RNAcentral
AACGAACGCUGGCGGCAGGCUUAACACAUGCAAGUCGAACGCCCCGCAAGGGGAGUGGCAGACGGGUGAGUAACGCGUGGGAAUCUACCGUACCCUACGGAAUAACGCAUGGAAACGUGUGCUAAUACCGUAUACGCCCUUAGGGGGAAAGAUUUAUCGGGGUAUGAUGAGCCCGCGUUGGAUUAGCUAGUUGGUGGGGU